This 499-nucleotide ribosomal RNA is filed under the name uncultured bacterium. RNAcentral's name for it is "partial 16S ribosomal RNA". It matches the Rfam family "Bacterial small subunit ribosomal RNA", at positions 28 to 504 of the family's 1533-position model. The record is from RNAcentral.
GACGAACGCUGGCGGCGUGCCUAAUACAUGCAAGUCGAACGAACCGCGACUAGGUGCUUGCACUUGGUCAAGGUGAGUGGCGAACGGGUGAGUAACACGUGGGUAACCUACCUCAUAGUGGGGGAUAACAGUCGGAAACGACUGCUAAUACCGCAUAGGACAUAGGAUCACAUGAUCCAGUGAGGAAAGGUGGCGCAAGCUAUCGCUAAGAGAUGGACCCGCGGUGCAUUAGCUAGUUGGUAGGGUAAAGGCCUACCAAGGCGAUGAUGCAUAGCCGACCUGAGAGGGUGAUCGGCCACAUUGGGACUGAGACACGGCCCAAACUCCUACGGGAGGCAGCAGUGGGGAAUCUUCCGCAAUGGACGCAAGUCUGACGGAGCAACGCCGCGUGAGUGAAGAAGGUCUGCGGAUCGUAAAGCUCUGUUGUUAGAGAAGAACAGCGCAUAGAGUAACUGUUAUGCGUGUGACGGUAUCUAACCAGAAAGCCACGGCUAACUAC